CGCGCGAGUACACAGUUGUUUCAGUGCGCCCGGACGGCGGCAGUACGACGGCGGGACACGCGCCGUGGCCGCCUCAGGUACUAGGUGACUCUGAGUGGCGU
RNAcentral lists this microRNA precursor (101 nucleotides) under Manduca sexta (tobacco hornworm). Its description in RNAcentral is "microRNA mse-mir-306 precursor". Its record names the gene mse-mir-306. Lineage: Eukaryota; Metazoa; Arthropoda; Insecta; Lepidoptera; Sphingidae. The record is from miRBase by way of RNAcentral.